GAUGAACGCUAGCUACAGGCUUAACACAUGCAAGUCGAGGGGAAACGAUAGAGAAAGCUUGCUUUUUCUAGGCGUCGACCGGCGCACGGGUGAGUAACGCGUAUCCAACCUGCCCAUCACUUGGGGAUAACCUUGCGAAAGUAAGACUAAUACCCAAUGAUAUCUCUAGAAGACAUCUGAAAGGGAUUAAAGAUUUAUCGGUGAUGGAUGGGGAUGCGUCUGAUUAGCUUGUUGGCGGGGUAACGGCCCACCAAGGCGACGAUCAGUAGGGGUUCUGAGAGGAAGGUCCCCAACAUUGGAACUGAGACACGGUCCAAACUCCUACGGGAGGCAGCAGUGAGGAAUAUUGGUCAAUGGGCGAGAGCCUGAACCAGCCAAGUAGCGUGCAGGAUGACGGCCCUAUGGGUUGUAAACUGCUUUUAUAAGGGAAUAAAGUGAGUCUCGUGAGACUUUUUGCAUGUACCUUAUGAAUAAGGACCGGCUAAUUCCGUGCCAGCCGCCGCAGUAA
This 508-nucleotide ribosomal RNA is filed under the name uncultured bacterium. RNAcentral describes it as "partial 16S ribosomal RNA". It matches the Rfam family "Bacterial small subunit ribosomal RNA", at positions 28 to 523 of the family's 1533-position model. The record is from RNAcentral.